This 631-nucleotide ribosomal RNA is filed under the name Flavobacterium sp. B1275. Its description in RNAcentral is "bacterial SSU rRNA". It matches the Rfam family "Bacterial small subunit ribosomal RNA", at positions 70 to 702 of the family's 1533-position model. Lineage: Bacteria; Pseudomonadati; Bacteroidota; Flavobacteriia; Flavobacteriales; Flavobacteriaceae. The record is from RNAcentral.
UAUGCUUCUUCGGGAGCAGAGACCGGCGCACGGGUGCGUAACGCGUAUGCAAUCUACCUUUCACAGAGGGAUAGCCCAGAGAAAUUUGGAUUAAUACCUCAUAGUAUAGCAGUUUCGCAUGAAACCACUAUUAAAGUCACAACGGUGAAAGAUGAGCAUGCGUCCCAUUAGCUAGUUGGUAAGGUAACGGCUUACCAAGGCAACGAUGGGUAGGGGUCCUGAGAGGGAGAUCCCCCACACUGGUACUGAGACACGGACCAGACUCCUACGGGAGGCAGCAGUGAGGAAUAUUGGACAAUGGGCGCAAGCCUGAUCCAGCCAUGCCGCGUGCAGGAUGACGGUCCUAUGGAUUGUAAACUGCUUUUAUACGAGAAGAAACCCUCCGACGUGUCGGAGCUUGACGGUAUCGUAAGAAUAAGGAUCGGCUAACUCCGUGCCAGCAGCCGCGGUAAUACGGAGGAUCCAAGCGUUAUCCGGAAUCAUUGGGUUUAAAGGGUCCGUAGGCGGUCAGGUAAGUCAGUGGUGAAAGCCCAUCGCUCAACGGUGGAACGGCCAUUGAUACUGUCUGACUUGAAUUAUUAGGAAGUAACUAGAAUAUGUAGUGUAGCGGUGAAAUGCUUAGAGAUUACAU